RNAcentral lists this transfer RNA (73 nucleotides) under Marmota monax (woodchuck). RNAcentral's name for it is "tRNA.Gly". The stretch from base 4 to 68 matches the Rfam family "tRNA". Rfam says of the family: Transfer RNA (tRNA) molecules are approximately 80 nucleotides in length. Their secondary structure includes four short double-helical elements and three loops (D, anti-codon, and T loops). The record is from RNAcentral. Lineage: Eukaryota; Metazoa; Chordata; Mammalia; Rodentia; Sciuridae.
GAGGGUGUAGCUCAGUGGUGGAGUGCUUGCCUACCAUGCAUGAAGCCCUGGGUUCCAUCCCCAACACCACUCA